Non-coding RNA from Meleagris gallopavo (turkey), 3877 nucleotides. Lineage: Eukaryota; Metazoa; Chordata; Aves; Galliformes; Phasianidae. The record is from RefSeq and is a predicted model, not a curated record.
GACUGGAAGGGCUGGAGCCAGGAUCCAUCCCUUCCCAGCCCUCAUUUAAGGGUUGGCAGUGGAAGUGAGGGUUUCUUACUGGAGAUUCCCAUGCACCUGAGGCUUUCUAAAGCUCCCAGUACGGCCCAGUAUGGGAUCACCGGGGACGCCGAGGUCCUGUUCUCCUGCUGGUACCUUGUGUUGACACUGUCCUCCCUCACCAGCAUAUUCUACCUGAAGAACAUCAUUCUGCACUGAGUGUAAAGAACCCUAAAAGGCUUUUAAGGAUUCUCUGAAAGUGCUGAUGACUGGAUCUGAUCUGGUAGAGUUUGUUAAAAGCAGCGUGGGAUAUAAUCAGCAGUGCUUGCGUGGGGAUGAUCGCCUUCUGUAGAAUUGCUCAUUAUGUAAAUACCUUAAUUCUACUCCUUUUUUGAUUAGCUGCAUUACCUUGUGAAGCAGUACACAUUGUCCUUUUUUAAGACGUGAAAGCUCUGAAGCUACUUUUAGAGGGUAUUAAUUGUGAUUUCAUGUUUGUAAUCUACAAGUUUUCAAAAGCAUUCAGUCAUGGUCUGCUGAACUGCAGACCGUAGUUUACAAAGAAAAAAAAAAAAAAAGGAGAAUAUUGCAGUAAAAUGGGCUUCUUUAAGGCUGCAAUACAACAUUCAGUUCCCUUCUUAAAUAACAUUCUCUCCACAUGUACACAAGAACUUUUUUUUUUAAUUAAAAAAAAAUCAAAUAAUCUUGCCUUCAAAAUAUUUCUUCGGAAUAUUACACAUAUCUAGAUUUUCUUCCAGCAUGAUAUUCAGGUUUCAAGAAUGAGCCUUGUAUUAUAACUGCAUUGUGCAGUACUGCUUUUUGAUUUCUUCCUUUUUCCUGCAAAUUCAGCAUGGGUGUGCCUUCAUAAAACACUAUUUUCCUCUUCCUUUCCAACAAAUCUGGAAUGUGCUUUGGGAAAUGCUACAGCAUCCUUUUGAGCAUAACCGAUCUCUGAGGACGAAGGUGCUAUUGGUUAGGCAGAAGGCCUCCUCUCCCAUCUCCAGUGGGUAAUGGGACUGCUUCAGUAUAUUUUUAGGCAAUCAGACAAGGAUAGCACUGAUCCCUUUUUAUUUUCCCCCUACUAAGCAGUGGACGAUCUGCAUUAAGAACGAGUUUCCCCAUUACAAAAGAGAACGCAAAUUAUUUUGAGACAUCUUUUGAAUGUAAGAAGGCUUCCCGUAGUCAUUCUAAACCAGAAUUCCUAAGUGGCUGUAAAUGUGAGAAGCUGAAUCAUCCCUUUUGUAUUACUGGCAAAAAUAUGAUGUGAAUUGGUAUUUUUCUUGCACUUAAUUUUGUACUGGUUUGGCUAAUUUAGCAAUGAUAAAGGAUGCUUUUAAGUAUUAGAUAUCUGAAAAUACAUAAAGUAUCAAGCAGAAUUUUAUAUAUAUACAUAUAUAUAUAAAAUACAGAUAUAUAUUAAAACGAGGUUGCUCCAAUAACCGUACUGAAGUGCAUGCUGCCAUCAAUGAUGCAUCUACAGACAGGACUUCAUUCCUGAUGUACACACACUGUACCAAUAGCUUACCACAGCAAUUUAGUCAUCAUAGACGAUCUCCUAGGACUGCAGUCUAUCAAGAUAAGACUCGCAUUAAACUCAAUGAAGGAUCAAGUUUCAAAAGAGCAUCUAGAAUCACUAUUUUUUCUAAGCAGCCCUGUACUGCAUCAAUGCAAAACGUUGCUGCAGUUUACAACUGAGUUUAGAAAUGCCAUCCUUGUAAGUUGCUGGGAUGUGACUGUGUCCAACAGCCUUAGAGCACAACGUCUCCAAUUGGCCCCCGGUAGAUGCUGACGUGCUUAAAAAAACAACAGCUGACGACAUGAAUAAUAAAGCCAUUAUACGAGUACUGCAUUCCCUCUCCUAAUGAUAAGGUUUGUGGUUAGCAAUACCAGAUGAGUGCUGCGCAUACGCAGCAGUUCCAAAUACCCCCGUUUCUGGAAAGGCAAAUCCUGAGUUUGGUUGGACUCGCUGUGUGCUGUCCCAUGCUAAAGCACAGGCACAACGUGCGGUGAAGCUGUUGCAGUUACUGAUGAGCCCAGGUGCACAAAGUGAAACGCAUUGACUCCAAAAUACGGCAAUAAAGCGUCCUAGGUCUGCUUGUGUUCAGUGACAGCUUGUGCCAUUUCUAUCACGUCGUUUGCAGCUGCGUGCUGAGCAGUGGCCAUUUUCAGAAGCGUGGCAUUUCUGUAAAACCUUGAAUAACGUGACCAAAUUCGUUGCUGAAGGAAACGGUUUAAAGCCAACUCAAAUUCUACUACACGCAGCCCUUAUAUUCUUCUCUCCCUUGUAUUGCAGCUUUAAAGUGCCAUAUUUUAGAAUCCGUUCAUUGGAAACAGUGGUGCUGCAGAAAACAUCACGUCAGGGCAGACUUGUGAAGAAAGCACAGGGGUGUGUGUAACCCAGCUCACCUGCUGCUCCUCGUGUGAAUGUGAGACGGGCUGUGCUGGGGCCGGGUCCAAUCGGGCAUUUCCAUUAUGAUUUUAUUUUGGUGAUUCCUGACAUCUGAAACAACCCCAGCAACAGAAUGGAAUGAACGGCAGCUUAAUUAAACUUGAUGAAAAGGAAGUAUUGGCUGAUGGCAGACAUAGAACCACUGGGUUAUGUGGACAAGGCUUUCAGUCCCAUUAAUUCUCCGUUAAAUUUGUGGGUACUUUGUUGUUGUCAGUUCCAAAAAGGAAAAGAGCCCAUGAACAUUUGUGGGUGCCAGUAGCAGUUUGUCAGACAGAGGAGGUGUCUGAGCACUGAGCAGAGCCGUGUGCUUGGGGUGCGUGGGCUCACAGCCCCAGUGCCAGCAGGGCUGCCCCUCGGUGUGCAGCCAACACGGGGCACGGGUGCUUGGCUUGGUGCUCCUGCCUUGAAAGAUAUGAUAUGUGGAGUUAAACAAGCUCAGGUUCUGGCAGGAUCAGAGCCCUAAGCGGCAUCGAUCCCAUAAAGAACCUCAGCUCUGUGGUUAAUCUGUUCUGUGUGGUAAAGGUAAUUGUGCAGUUUGGGACUUGCUGGGACGUCCUUCCAGCAGGGCUGUGCAGGCUGCUGCAAGCUGAAGGCUACAGCAUCGGGCAGAGCCCAUUCACUCUUUAGUUUGUGGGGUGUGUUUGCUUUAGGCAGGACGGUACAUUCUGUGCUUCUUGGAAUGGUUGACCCAUACUGUUCAUCUCUGUUGAUCAAAUCGUAUUCUAUUUAUUCCCACCUUUAAAAAGUGAAAAAUAAACAGCUUAGCUCCAAGCAGUACAACUGAAUACGUAUAUGAAGAUCACUGUCCGCAUGGGAAACCCCAAGGUCUGUAAUGCUGUAAGUUCCCACUCGUGUGAUAACUCAGGGCUGCUAAUUACCGCUGCAUCGGUGACGUGAGCAGCAGCAGCAAUGCUCAAAGAGAGGCAUUGCUGAUCAGGAUAUUAUUCUAUUACGGAAUUAAACUCGUAACUUCUUGAACGAAUGCCAUUUCUCAAGGUUUAUAACUUGGCAGGAAGUGUAUCCAUCAUUGCUAGACAGCUUUUUUUAAACUUUUCAAUAUAUAUAUUUUUGUUAGAAACUGUGCUGUUUUUUAAGAUACAGGGGUGUUAAACACCACCGCCAGGAAAAGCUGCUUCUUUGCACAUUUUCAAAGUUAGCAUUCUAGACCAACUCUGGUAAAUGUUACGCUUACCAAAAUCUCUUCUUAUUCCACGUAAGUGUGUUACAAAGAAUGUGUAUACCAAAAUACGUAUUUACCUGGAUGAACAAUAUGCCUUAAAGACUCAGUGUGCGUUUACUUCCGAGACUGGACCAGAUUUGUGCCCAAUCUGGAGGUAAAUAAUCCAUACUUCAUAGCCUGCCAUGGGAGAUAUCAUUUCUUCAAAAAAUAAUAAUAAUAAAAGAAAAAAAAAA